RNAcentral lists this ribosomal RNA (497 nucleotides) under uncultured bacterium. Its description in RNAcentral is "partial 16S ribosomal RNA". It matches the Rfam family "Bacterial small subunit ribosomal RNA", at positions 28 to 507 of the family's 1533-position model. The record is from RNAcentral.
GACGAACGCUGGCGGCGUGCCUAAUACAUGCAAGUUGAGCGCUGAAGGAUGGUACUUGUACCCACUGGAUGAGCAGCGAACGGGUGAGUAAGGCGUGGGGAAUCUGCCUUUGAGCGGGGGACAACAUUUGGAGACGAAUGCUACUACCGCAUAAAAACUUUAAACACAAGAUUUAAGUUUGAAAGAUGCAAUUGCAUCACUAAAAGAUGAUCCCGCGAUGUAUUAGCUAGUUGGUGAGGUAAAGGCUCACCAAGGCGAUGAUACAUAGCCGACCCGAGAGGGUGGAUGACCACAUUUGGAAUGGGACCAGGCCCAAGCUCCUACGGGAGGGAGCAGUAGGGAAUCUUCGGCAAUGGACGAAAGUCUGACCGCGCAACGCCGCGUGAGUGAAGAAAGUUUUCGGAUCGUAAAACUCUGUUGGUAGAGAAGAACGUUGGUGAGGGUGGAAAGCUCAUCUAGUGACGGUAACUACCCAGAAAGCGACGGCUAACUACGUG